This 460-nucleotide ribosomal RNA is filed under the name uncultured bacterium. RNAcentral's name for it is "partial 16S ribosomal RNA". It matches the Rfam family "Bacterial small subunit ribosomal RNA", at positions 338 to 795 of the family's 1533-position model. The record is from RNAcentral.
CCUACGGGGGGCAGCAGUGAGGAAUAUUGGUCAAUGGGCGCAAGCCUGAACCAGCCAAGUCGCGUGAGGGAUGACGGUCCUAUGGAUUGUAAACCUCUUUUGUCGGGGAGCAAGGCCCGCCACGUGUGGCGGGAAGGAGAGUACCCGAAGAAAAAGCAUCGGCUAACUCCGUGCCAGCAGCCGCGGUAAUACGGAGGAUGCGAGCGUUAUCCGGAUUUAUUGGGGUUAAGGGGUGCGUAGGAGGAAGGUUAAGUCAGCGGUAAAAUGUCGGUGCUCAACACCGGCCUGCCGUUGAAACUGGUCUUCUUGAGUGAGCGAGAAGUAUGCGGAAUGCGUGGUGUAGCGGUGAAAUGCAUAGAUAUCACGCAGAACUCCGAUUGCGAAGGCAGCAUACCGGCGCUCAACUGACGCUGAGGCACGAAAGCGUGGGGAUCGAACAGGAUUAGAUACCCCAGUAGUC